AAAUGAAUUGACGGGGGCCCGCACAAGCGGUGGAGUAUGUGGUUUAAUUCGAAGCAACGCGAAGAACCUUACCAGGCCUUGACAUCCCUUGCAGAGGUAUAGAGAUAUAUCCGAGGUUAUCAAGGAGACAGGUGGUGCAUGGUUGUCGUCAGCUCGUGUCGUGAGAUGUUGGGUUAAGUCCCGCAACGAGCGCAACCCUUGUGAUAUGUUACUAACAUUGAGUUGAGGACUCAUAUCAGACUGCCGGUGAUAAACCGGAGGAAGGUGGGGAUGACGUCAAAUCAUCAUGCCCCUUAUGGCCUGGGCUACACACGUACUACAAUGGCGUCUACAAAGAGCGGCAAGCCUGUGAAGGCAAGCGAAUCUCAUAAAGGACGUCUCAGUUCGGAUUGAAGUCUGCAACCCGACUUCAUGAAGCUGGAAUCGCUAGUAAUCGCGAAUCAGCAUGUCGCGGUGAAUACGUUCUCGGGCCUUGUACACACCGCCCGU
RNAcentral lists this ribosomal RNA (489 nucleotides) under uncultured bacterium. RNAcentral describes it as "bacterial SSU rRNA". It matches the Rfam family "Bacterial small subunit ribosomal RNA", at positions 903 to 1397 of the family's 1533-position model. The record is from RNAcentral.